UACGGGGGGAGCAAGCGUUGUUCGGAUUUACUGGGCGUAAAGGGCGCGUAGGCGGUCAGCACAAGUCAGUUGUGAAAUCUCCGGGCUUAACUCGGAAAGGUCAACUGAUACUGUGCGACUAGAGUGCGGAAGGGGCAACUGGAAUUCUCGGUGUAGCGGUGAAAUGCUUAGAGAUUACAUGGAAUACCAAUUGCGAAGGCAGGUUACUACUAAUGGAUUGACGCUGAUGGACGAAAGCGUGGGGAGCAAACAGG
RNAcentral lists this ribosomal RNA (254 nucleotides) under uncultured bacterium. Its description in RNAcentral is "partial 16S ribosomal RNA". It matches the Rfam family "Bacterial small subunit ribosomal RNA", at positions 524 to 776 of the family's 1533-position model. The record is from RNAcentral.